Triticum aestivum (bread wheat) is the source of this 135-nucleotide non-coding RNA. Lineage: Eukaryota; Viridiplantae; Streptophyta; Magnoliopsida; Poales; Poaceae. The record is from Rfam.
UUAGUACUCCCUCCGUCCGGAAAUACUCGUCAUCAAAAUGGAUAAAAAGAGAUGUAUCUAAAACUAAAAUAUGUCUAGAUACAUUCUAUUUUAUCCAUUUUGAUGACAAGUAUUUCUGGACGGAGGGAGUACCUA